AUUGAACGCUGGCGGCAGGCCUAACACAUGCAAGUCGAGCGGAUGAAGGGAGCUUGCUGCUGGAUUCAGCGGCGGACGGGUGAGUAAUGCCUAGGAAUCUGCCUGGUAGUGGGGGAUAACGUCCGGAAACGGGCGCUAAUACCGCUUACGUCCUGAGGGAGAAAGUGGGGGAUCUUCGGACCUCACGCUAUCAGAUGAGCCUGGGUCGGAUUAGCUAGUUGGUGGGGUAAAGGCUUACCAAGGCGACGAUCCGGAACUGGUCUGAGAGGAUGAUCAGUCACACUGGCACUGAGACGCGGGCCAGACUGCUACGGGAGGGAGCAGGGGGGAAUAUUGGACAAUGGGGGCAAGCCUGAGCCAGCCAUGACGCGUGAGUGAUGAAGGCCUUAGGGUUGGAAAGCUCUUUUAUACGGGACGAUAAUGACGGUACCGGAGGAAUAAGCACCGGCUAGCUUCGUG
RNAcentral lists this ribosomal RNA (459 nucleotides) under uncultured bacterium. RNAcentral describes it as "partial 16S ribosomal RNA". It matches the Rfam family "Bacterial small subunit ribosomal RNA", at positions 29 to 507 of the family's 1533-position model. The record is from RNAcentral.